GUGGGGAAUAUUGGGCAAUGGGCGAAAGCCUGACCCAGCCACGCCGCGUGAGUGAUGAAGGCCUUCGGGUUGUAAAGCUCUGUGGGGAGGGAAGAAAAAGCGGGAGAGUAACUGCUCUCGUGUUGACGGUACCUCCUUAGCAAGCACCGGCUAACUCUGUGCCAGCAGCCGCGGUAAUACAGAGGGUGCAAACGUUGCUCGGAAUUACUGGGCGUAAAGCGCGUGUAGGCUGACAUGCAAGUCGGGUGUGAAAUCCCAGGGCUCAACCUUGGAACUGCACUCGAAACUGCACGUCUUGAGUACUGGAGAGGGAAGCGGAAUUCCGGGUGUAGAGGUGAAAUUCGUAGAUAUCCGGAGGAACACCAGUGGCGAAGGCGGCUUCCUGGACAGUAACUGACGCUGAGACGCGAAAGCGUGGGGAGCAAACAGGAUUAGAAACCCCAGUAGUCC
This 450-nucleotide ribosomal RNA is filed under the name uncultured bacterium. RNAcentral's name for it is "partial 16S ribosomal RNA". It matches the Rfam family "Bacterial small subunit ribosomal RNA", at positions 354 to 796 of the family's 1533-position model. The record is from RNAcentral.